GAGAGUGUGGCUCAGUGGGAGAGUGCUUACCUAGCAUGUAGGAGGCUCUGAGUUUGAACCCCAGCACCACA
This 71-nucleotide transfer RNA is filed under the name Marmota monax (woodchuck). RNAcentral describes it as "tRNA.Ala". It matches the Rfam family "tRNA". From Rfam's summary of the family: Transfer RNA (tRNA) molecules are approximately 80 nucleotides in length. Their secondary structure includes four short double-helical elements and three loops (D, anti-codon, and T loops). The record is from RNAcentral. Lineage: Eukaryota; Metazoa; Chordata; Mammalia; Rodentia; Sciuridae.